GCCCGCUUAGCUCAGUGGUAGAGCGCGUCACUUGUAACAGAUAGAAAUGAUGAGGUCGGUUGUUCAAUCCAGCCAGUGGGCA
This is a non-coding RNA of Paxillus ammoniavirescens, 82 nucleotides long. The record is from the annotation of a GenBank genome assembly. Lineage: Eukaryota; Fungi; Basidiomycota; Agaricomycetes; Boletales; Paxillaceae.